AUUCAAAUAGCUUAUAUUUAGAGUAUGACACUGAAGAUGUUAGGGAAAUUAAUUUAAUUUUUGAAUA
RNAcentral lists this transfer RNA (67 nucleotides) under Liriomyza huidobrensis (pea leafminer). Its description in RNAcentral is "tRNA-Phe". Lineage: Eukaryota; Metazoa; Arthropoda; Insecta; Diptera; Agromyzidae. The record is from RNAcentral.